GAUGGCCGAGGCUAGGGAAAAAGUGGGAAAGAAGAUAUAAAUAUAAAAUAGUAGUAUAUAACCUCUUAAAUAGCCUUUAAAUUGAUUUUAUUAUAAUAUACGUAUGUUAAUAACAGUCUUUGUUGUCAACAUUAUAUGUUCAUAGAAAGACUGUAUCAAAUACAAAAUGACAAGAAUCUUAUGUGGCUUCUUAAUGUUGCAUAAAUUGCGAAAUGGUAAUUUUGAUACAAAUGGAUGUGCAUUGUGCAUAAAUAAAGUUUAACAAUCUUCCAUCAUCUCUCAUUCUUCACGUCGUGCUGCUCAAAUACCAAUAUGUUGCUGUAUGCGUGAGGCUCACUGGCUUCAUGGUACUUAGAUCUUCAUAACACUUCGAUUUUUAGUACAUAUUAUACGUGUACAGUGCUUGUUUGACGCAGAGCAGAAAUGAGUACUCGGGUGUUAAACGAUAUUCAUAAUGAUCUAAAGCAGCUUAUAACAGCGGUUACAUCAUUUGAGGAGGAUGAAGAAGGGUUUCGCAUAUGCGAACGAUUCUGCUUGUCGAAUAUCAAGCAUCAUCGCUAUCUUUCCGUCAACAGUCACGCAACCAAGGAGGCUAUAAGUGCGUUAGUUACCAAAUUCUCCAUCCAUGGAAAAUACGAAGUUGCGAAGAAGUUUCGGGAACUGAUCGAUGCCUUCUUGUCAAGCUUCGACUUUGAGCAGCAUCCGCAAUACGACCUGCAGUGGUCAUUGCUAACGUUCUUGCUGGACUUGUCCACCGAGACUCACAAGUCUAAUUUAGACAGCUUGAGGCUCGCGCGUGGGGAGUACAGUUUCAAUUUAGCCGCUGGAAAUGAUGACAGCAACAUAGAAGAGAUAGACUGGGCGCAGUACUUGAAGGAAGGCCAGGAGAAUUUCUUUUGCGACUAUAAGAGCGAUGGCAGCGAGAGUGAAUGGUCCGAUGAGGAAGGAACUGACGAAACUGAUGUCUUGCCGAUGCAAAUAGCUAAUGCACAAUUAAAUACCGCGCAGCGAUCGCAAGCAGUCGCCGAUAACGUAAUCGAUAAAUUCUCCAGAGCGUUAGUGCAAAGUCUCGAGUCCAGAAAGUGGCUCGCGUCGAACGUUCAAACCGAUUGGUGGAACAAUUUGGAAUGUCAAAAGUAUCCCGUUGCCAUACGAUCUUGCGAUACCAAUAUAUGUGACAUCUGGCACGGCACAAACUCGACGGCCUGGCAGAAGGUAGCCACUCUCAGCGAAUAUCAAGUCUGCAGAGAGUUACUGUGGAUGUUUCACGUUCAGACGUCAAUGGUGGUGUUUCAGGAGAGCGAACCGAAAUUCUCAAUACGUCCCAACAUAUCCAUACCGAGCUUGACAACUACAGCGUUUGAAAGCAUUCUUUCACCAUUUUGCGAGUGCUUCUCGAUGAUACAUGAUAUUCAGAAAUUUGGAGCUGAUCUGCAACCAAUUUGUAAUGAAAAAUCAGAACUUCAGAGUCCUCCUUUGACUUACGAAGCAUACAAUGCAGCAGUCAAUCAGCACUUGUAUGAAUUUCGAACUAAAGUGAUUAACGUAGAAAAAGAUGUUAUGAAGCAAGAGAAUUGCAAUACACUGCUAUCGUUAUCAGCUGAUCUCAGGAAACACCUAAAUACUAUAAGGAUACUCUACGACAUACACAAGAGAGUUGUAAUCGAUUGGAAAGCUAGUCCUAAUUGGAAAUGCGCGUCCCGACUGUUAUCGUGCUUGUACUACGAGAUGCAGAACUCUCCUAGCCGGGAGAGAGCAAACAUUUGUACAAAUUUGUAUUUAUGUAGCCUAACCGUUUAUCUUAAUGUAAUCGAUACGUGGUUGAGUGAGGGUCGAUUGGAAGACUGGAGGGAUGAGUUUAUAAUUGUGAGAUCGGAAGAUGCAUCAGGGGAAAACGACGAACAGAGUGAAAAAUUCAUAGUUCGGUUAUCUAACAAUGUCUCAACGGAUCCAGUUAUGCAAUUCUUAUUGCAAAAGGUGCAACGUAUGGGACAUAGUAUCGAGCUGCUCAUCUCCCUGGAUCGAAUCACCGAUAUAUGGAGGAUGGAUGGUGAACACAAUGACACGAGAAUUUCAUUAAACACCGAAUUUCAAGACAAAUUAUUAUCGGAAAUAUCUAAAUACAGUCCACCGAGUGAGGAGAUAGACGCAUCCACGCUGCAAACAGAUGAAAUAUUAUUACAGGAAUAUGACGCCGAUAUGGAAAAGAAUAUAGUACAACAAUUAUCAACUUCGCACAAUCCAUUUUUCAUGAAAGCUAUGGAAGACUACCUGCCCUGUGAAUUGUAUAAGAGUGAUACGGUGGAUGCUCAUACGCAGAAUACUCGGCAGCCUAAGGCAAAGCAAAAGCAAAUGUAUCAUUUAUACAAAAGGCUACAAAAGAUUAAGUAUAUUUUACCAUUGCAAAACAUUCUGGAGAAUACACUGUCCGAGAUGUUAAGUUUGCGCUACAACAGCGCUAGCAGAUUAGUAAAAAAUAUCAUGGUCGAGGAAUACAAACUACAAACGCAUCUACAGCUGUUAAGGCUCGUUUAUAUGAUGGAAGCGGGACAUGUGAUGAACAAAUUCUAUCAAAUCUUAUUUUACGAGAUUGAAAAUAAUCAAAUGUGGGCUAACUCGUACUUUUUAUCGUGUAUUCUUGAAGAAAUAUUUUCUCAGUACUGGCCAAAUACAAGUUCACGCUGGUCCGUUAUGGUUCACGGCAAUGUCAAUACUCAUCAAGUAUUACAAGCUGUGAAUAGCAUAACACUGCAUUAUGCAGUGGAGUGGCCUAUAAGCAUAAUGCUGACCAAGAAGGUCUUGGAAAAAUACAAUGAGAUAUUCAGAUUUCACUUGAAGCUGAAAUGGGCUUUAUGGACGUUAAAUAAUUUGAGAUUUUCUGAUCUAGAGGGUUCUAGGUCGCCACGUGUGAGAGAUAGAUUGGAACAAUUUCAUAUAAGGCGUCUCGAAAGUUUAAGAUUUUGGCUGCUACAUGCGAUAGGAUCUAUCCACACGUACCUGUCCGGUCAGGUGUUACAGAGUUUAGGUUUCAUCCUGGAAAAAGAUCUCGCGCAAGCCGAUAGUCUCGAUACCAUUGUAUCAGCGAACAUUUUGCAGUACACAAUGAAUACUUGAACAAAGUUCACGAGCAUUGCUUGUUAACGGAGGAGUUUGAAGACAUAAUGACAACCAUAAACAAUAUGAUCGAAAUGUGUAUUCACAUACGGGACAGAUGGUCACGCAAGAAAUUAUUGUUAGCCACUGCGGAAUUGGACGUGAUGGAACACAGUUACAUAAAAUACCAUACGUACCUUGCUCUAGCUUUGCACAAUGCAAUACAG
Molecule: unclassified non-coding RNA, 3320 nt
Filed under: Ooceraea biroi (clonal raider ant)
Lineage: Eukaryota; Metazoa; Arthropoda; Insecta; Hymenoptera; Formicidae
Description: gamma-tubulin complex component 5, transcript variant X3
Source: RNAcentral